UGGGGGGUAGCUUAGUGGUAGAGCUUGUGCCUAGCAUACAUAGGCCCAGGGUUCAAUCCCCAGCCCUCUCC
RNAcentral lists this transfer RNA (71 nucleotides) under Heterocephalus glaber (naked mole-rat). It matches the Rfam family "tRNA". Rfam says of the family: Transfer RNA (tRNA) molecules are approximately 80 nucleotides in length. Their secondary structure includes four short double-helical elements and three loops (D, anti-codon, and T loops). The record is from Rfam by way of RNAcentral. Lineage: Eukaryota; Metazoa; Chordata; Mammalia; Rodentia; Bathyergidae.